UGGGGAAUUUUGGACAAUGGGCGAAAGCCUGAUCCAGCAAUGCCGCAUCGAUGUGAGUGAAGAAGGCCUUCGGGUUGUAAAGCUCUUUUGUCAGGGAAGAAACGGUGAGGGCUAUAAUAUCCCUUGCUAAUGACGGUACCUGAAGAUGCAAUAAGCACCGGCUAACUACGUGCCAGCAGCCGCGGUAAUACGUAGGGUGCAAGCGUUAAUCGGAAUUACUGGGCGUAAAGCGUGCGCAGGCGGUUUUGUAAGUCUGAUGUGAAAUCCCCGGGCUCAACCUGGGAAUUGCAUUGGAGACUGCAAGGCUCGUAGAAUCUGGCAGAGGGGGGUAGAAUUCCACGUGUAGCAGUGAAAUGCGUAGAUAUGUGGAGGAACACCGAUGGCGAAGGCAGCCCCCUGGGUCAAGAUUGACGCUCAUGCACGAAAGCGUGGGGAGCAAACAGGAUUAGAUACCCUGGUAGUCCACGCCCUAAACGAUGUCUAUUAGUUG
This 490-nucleotide ribosomal RNA is filed under the name uncultured bacterium. RNAcentral's name for it is "bacterial SSU rRNA". It matches the Rfam family "Bacterial small subunit ribosomal RNA", at positions 355 to 822 of the family's 1533-position model. The record is from RNAcentral.